GGUAUAAGUUUGUUUAUAGCUUAAACCACACCAAUAGUAUUAAGGGCAUGCUCAAACUAGCUUACAUUCUUACUUCCUAGUUCAUGCUUUGCUUCAAGCCCGGCCACUCUAAAGUCCGGUAAUACGCCUAUUUCAUCUCACUUUGCCUUUGGUAGGAUUGUUACCUUAUAUCUUGCUGAGGUAGCAGAGCUUCGCUGUAUAUUUUACUGUAGGUCGUCGCCUGCAGACUUGACAAAUAAUAUGCGCAUAUUCCAACCAAUGGGGAUAUCCGCUAAAAAUAUGACGAUCCAUCGAUUGUGUCCCAUUAACCCCCUAGUGACCAGGCCGUUUUUCAAUUUUCUUACCGUUUGGGACUCAGGCUGUUUUUACAUUUCUGCUGUGUUUGUGUUUAGCUGUAAUUUUCUCUUACUAAUUUACUUUACCCACACAUAUUGUAUACAGUUUUUCUCACCAUUAAUGGGCCUUUCUAAAGAUACCAUUAUUUUCAUCAUAUCAUAUAAUUUACUAUUAAAAAAAUUAUAAAAU
Non-coding RNA from Pelobates cultripes (western spadefoot toad), 525 nucleotides. NCBI's taxonomy places the organism in Eukaryota, Metazoa, Chordata, Amphibia, Anura, Pelobatidae. The record is from the annotation of a GenBank genome assembly.